UUUUCAAAUUAAACUAUUUUAAAUUCAUGAAAACCAGAUUUUAAUACUCACGCGCACACACUCUGUUUUCCUUUCACACACGUACACAGCAGGAUUAAUUCACCAAAACAUAUUAUUUAAAGCAUCUACAAAAUUGCAUAUCAUGAGACAGAAGCUAAUUUACACGAAGGAAUUGUUGGAAAUUUCAGAAAUUCCUAUUUGCAACUCACAAUAGCUAUACAUGGAGAGUUCAGUGACAUUUUUGGGUUAGUUUUGGAUUUGUAACUUAUUUUGUAACGGCCCCGGAAAUUAAAAGAAAAUGUAUAUAUUAAAAAGUUCUAAGUGCGGAAGCGAAAUAAAAAUUCUGAUUAACAUCCCUUACACAAUAACUAAAAACGUAUUUAACAUAUGAAAGAAUAACUAACUGAAGUAAACACUAGUAAUGAAUGCAAUAAAUAAAUCUAUGAAAUUCUUAGUCAUUUACUCGCCGUCUUCCUGCGGGACGGGCUCGGGAACCAAGUCCUCCUGAUCUGAAAUGGUUAAGUAAGGAAUGAGCUACACUAGCCCAGUAAAGACAUCACACUAUCUCACUGCCACAGGAGUAAAAGCUGGUAGAAAACAAAAACGACCAAUGGAGCAUAAUUUAUAGCAAACUCAUUUAUCAAUAAUAAAAAUCUUUACUGUCCACUUACCUCGGUGAGAUUCAUGAAAACAAUUUAUGAAAUACAAUAACAUCAUAAAUGUCAUAAAAUCAUGCACACUUUGUAACAUAACACAUAUUAAACUCUCAUUUUUCAAUCAUCAGACAACAAUUUUCCUCUUUUAUCAGCCUACUAGUAUCCAUGGGGAUCCAUAGGGGGUUCCCGCUACACGUGAACUAUUCACAUUAAUAACUUGAUUCCAGGGCCGUCCCCAUACCCCGUCCGGUAUGGGUGCCAAAAUACAUAAGGUCUCCAUACCCCGUCCGAUAUGAGAGACCACGUUUCCGAUAGGGUUCCCUAAAAUAAUUUUCAAUCAAUUCCCAAAAAUAAUUUUAUCCAAUUUUAUCAUUAUUAUUAUUAUUUAUUUCUAUUAAAUUAAUAAAUUAAACAUAUAAUUAUUACAAAAUAAAUUAACUAUUAAAAAAUAAAAUAAAAUCCAAAAAAAAAUUCCAAUACAAAAAUAAAAAUACUUUUGGGGUGUUACAACUCUACCCCCCUUAAGGAAAUUUGGUCCCCCAAAUUUGCCUCUUGCUCUUGAUCGAACAAAUGGGGAUACUGGGCUCUAAAGUCUGAUUCUAGCUCCUAGGUAGCCUCCCUUGGCAUGUGGUUUUGCCACACGACCUUUACAAAUGAUAUUUUUUGGUUGCGGAGUAUCCUGCUCUUUCGGUCCGUGAUACCGGCUGGUACUUCUUUAUAAGAUAAGUCCUUUUGGAGUGGAAGCGGUUCAUGAGCCAAGACAUGAGAUGGGUCCGGGUUGUACUUACGUAGCAUGGAUACGCGGAACACAUUGUGGACCUUGGAGAGCUUUGGAGGCAGUGCUAGUCUGUAGGCAACAGUAUCAAUCCUGUCUAAGAUUUCAAAAGGUCCAAUAAAUCAGGGGUUCAAUUUUUCCCUCCUGCCGAACCUACUAAUUCCCUUGAAAGGAGCCUUUCUCAAACGCUAGAUCUCUCCUCCGGGUGUCCGCAUAACUCUUCUGCCUACUCUGAGCCGUUUGAAUGUUCUUUCUGAUUUUAACUAUUUUAGACGUGGUCUCCUCUACCAACUCCAGGCCGAACAAUCUUCUAUCGCCCACUUCUUUUCCAACAAAUCGGUGAUCUGCAUGGGCGCCCAUAUAACGCCUCAUAUGGAGCCAUGCCGAUGCUCGCUUGGUAGCUGUUGUUGUAGGCAAACUCUAUCAGGGGUAGAUGGUCGUCCCAAUGGCCCCUAGCGUUAAGGAAACAAGCUCGGAGCAUAUCUUCAAGUGUACGAAUUGUCCUUUCUGAUUGUCCAUCAGCUUGAGGAUGGAAGGCAGUACUAAGAGACAGCUUUGUUCCCAUGACUUGCUGAAAGCUACUCCAAAAUCGAGAAGUGAACCUGGGGUCCUUGUCGAAUACCACUGUCACUGGAACUCCAUGCAAUCUGACUAUUUCCUGGAUAUACAUUCUUGUCAACUUGUCCAAAGGGUCGGUCAUCUGAUGGUCAGAAGUGGGAAGAUUUGGUAAGCCGGUCAACGAUUACCCAGAUGGCGUCAUGUCUAAACGUGCUUGGGUAAUCCCGUUACGAAGUCCAUAGUGAUGUGUUCCCACUUCCACUCCGGGAUCGGUAAAGGCUGAAGUAGCCCACCUGGGCGCUGAUGCUCUACCUUGACCUGCUGACAAACCAAGUAUUUGGAUACAAAGUCGGCUAUGUCUCUCUUCAUCCCAUUCCACCAAAACCGGGGUCGCAUGCUUUGGUACAUUUUGGUGCUUCCGGGAUGCAUGGCAAACUUUGAGUUGUGGGACUCUAUCAUGAUGUCUCUCUUUAACUCACUGUCAUCUGAGACACACACCCUGUCUUGGAAACAGAGUAACCCAUCGGCAGAAAUUCAGAAUUCUGAGCUCACUCCCUGUUCUCAUCAUUCUUGUGGGCUACCAAGGCGGGGUCGACUGACUGGGCUUCCCUUAUUCUCUGGAUUAACUCGGGCUGGACUGUCAGGCGGCCCAAACAUGUGAUUCUCCUCAGGUUCUGAAGUCGAACCUGUUGUGUGGCCCCAAUUUACCUGAAUUCUGAAACCAUCAAAUGGGCUAAGAUACCUGCACUUUUCCUGCUGAGAGCGUCUGCUACCACGUUGCCCUUACCCCGAUGGUAUAAGAUAUUACAAUCAUAGUCUUUAAAGAGUUCCAUCCACCUUCUCUGACGCAUGUUGAGAUCAUUCUGAGUGAAUAUGUGUUUCAAACUCUUAUGAUCAAUAUAGAUCUGAAAGGUCUCUCCGUAUAAGUAGUGGCGCCAGGUUUUCAAGACGUGUAUGAUUGCAGCAAACUCUAAGUCAUGGGUGGGAUAAUUCUUCUCAUGAUUCUUUAACUGUCUGGACCCAUAUGCUAUGACAUUCCCAUGCUGCAUCAGGACACAACCCAGGCCUAGAUAGGAGGCAUCACUAUAAACUGUAUAUCCCCCCGAUCCACUCGGUAAAGCCAGUACGGGUGCAGUAGUCAGUCACUUCUUUAAUAAACUUCUUUCGCAAUCCUCAUUCCACUCAAACUUGGCAUUCUUCUUUGUGAGUCGGGUUAGAGGAGCUGCUAGGCUGGAGAAUCCUUCAACGAACCUGCGGUAAUAACCUGUCAUCCCCAAGAAGCUCUGGAUUUCCUUAACUGAUGUUAACUUCUCUCAGCCAAGUAUCGCUUCAACCUUUUUGGGAUUCACUGAUACUCCUUCCUUCGAUAUUAUGUGUCCUAGGAAGGCGGUUUGCUCAAGCCAGAAUCCACACUUACUCAACUUUGCAUAUAACUUCUUUUUUAUGAGGACUUGCAAAACUUGGCCAAGAUGGUGAGCAUGUUCUUCUCUGCUUUUUGAGUAGACCAAGAUGUCAUCGAUGAACACAAUAAAAAAUUGAUCCAAGAACUCUCUGAAGACCCAGUUCAUCAGAUCCAUAAAGAUUGUUGGGGCGUUGGUUAGCCCAAAUGGCAUGACCAGGAACUCAUAGUGUUUGUACCUGGUUCGAAAGGCCGUCUUAGGGAUGUCUUCUGUUCUUAUCUUCACCUGAUGGUAACCUGAUCGCAGGUCUAUUUUAGAGAAGACCUGUGCACCCUGUAACUGAUCGAAGAGGUCAUCAAUCCUGGGAAGGGGAUAUUUGUUCUUAAUUGAACCUUGUUCAAUCCUCUGUAAUCAAUACACAGUCUCAAUGUUCCAUCUCCCUUCUUGGAAAAAGUGACUCCGGCACCCAAAGGGACACACUGUGUCUAAUAAAACCACUGUUUUGCAAUUCAGUGAUCUCUUUCCUCAGCUCUUCCAUCUCAAUGCGGCUCAUGCGGUAAGGAGCAACCGAAAUGGGCUGGGUGCCUGGCUGUAGGUCUAUAGUGAACUCGACUUCCCUGUCCACUAGUCCGGGUAGUUCGUCCGGAAACACAUCUGGAAAGUCUCAGACUACCAAAAUCUCUUGGAUACAAAUUUUCUUAUUGGGCUUGCCUAGUUAGAGAAAAUAGCAAGAUUAAGGUACUUAAAAUUUAAGGAAACUUGCCAUCAAGGAAUAAGUACUAGAUGAUUUUAUUAAUUUGUAAAUGGCUCAUCAUUAGGAGGAUUAAAUACAACCUUCUUGUUAAAGCAAUCUAUGGUGGCGUGAUAAGCCGCUAGCCAAUCCAUCCCUAAGAUUACAUCAAAAUCUCUCAUGUCUAACCCUAUCAGGUCUACACUCAGUUUUUUAUUUGCUAUCUCCACGGCACAAUCCCUGUGGACAACUUUCCCUAAUAGUGUUUCACCCCCAGCAGUAGACACAAAUAAUAUUGAAUCAAGUUCAUCAAGUAAUACAUUAAAUUUGGAUGCAAAAACAUGUGAAACAAAUGAAUGUGAUGCACCAGUGUUAAACAAAACAUGAGCAAUAUGGUUACAGAUAGUGUACAUACCCUGUACCACGUCCGGGUUGGCAUUGGCAUCCUGCUGAGUGAGGUUGUAAAUCCUGUCCUGAAUAGGAGGUCUUCCUUAAUUCUGGUUCCUCGGGCACUCUCUCGCAUAGUGCUGGGCACUGCCACAUAUGCAACAGGUAUUGUUGAGGCGGUAGCAUGGUCGGUCCCCGUGAUCCCUGCCACAGUGCUACAGAUCUUUCCACGUCCUGCCCCUAGAGCGUAAGGAGGGGCCUGGAUCACUGGUCUGGGCCUCUUAUUUGGUUGGA
Molecule: long non-coding RNA, 4800 nt
Filed under: Carica papaya (papaya)
Lineage: Eukaryota; Viridiplantae; Streptophyta; Magnoliopsida; Brassicales; Caricaceae
Description: long non-coding RNA (CPAP_LNC009418)
Source: RNAcentral